This 497-nucleotide ribosomal RNA is filed under the name uncultured bacterium. Its description in RNAcentral is "partial 16S ribosomal RNA". It matches the Rfam family "Bacterial small subunit ribosomal RNA", at positions 36 to 507 of the family's 1533-position model. The record is from RNAcentral.
UCUUCCCUCUGUCGGCGUGCCUAAUACAUGCAAGUCGAGCGAACAGAUAAGGAGCUUGCUCCUUUGACGUUAGCGGCGGACGGGUGAGUAACACGUGGGUAACCUACCUAUAAGACUGGAAUAACUCCGGGAAACCGGGGCUAAUGCCGGAUAACAUUUAGAACCGCAUGGUUCUAAAGUGAAAGAUGGUUUUGCUAUCACUUAUAGAUGGACCCGCGCCGUAUUAGCUAGUUGGUAAGGUAACGGCUUACCAAGGCAACGAUACGUAGCCGACCUGAGAGGGUGAUCGGCCACACUGGAACUGAGACACGGUCCAGACUCCUACGGGAGGCAGCAGUAGGGAAUCUUCCGCAAUGGGCGAAAGCCUGACGGAGCAACGCCGCGUGAGUGAUGAAGGUCUUCGGAUCGUAAAACUCUGUUAUUAGGGAAGAACAAAUGUGUAAGUAACUGUGCACGUCUUGACGGUACCUAAUCAGAAAGCCACGGCUAACUACGUG